GUAAGUUGGAAAUUCAUUUGUUAUGCCUACCAAACAUAGCUAUGGUAUAUAGUGCUGCUAAGCUAUGUUUGGUAGGCAUAACAAAUGAAUUUUCAACUUACAAAAUUUU
Molecule: microRNA precursor, 109 nt
Filed under: Marmota monax (woodchuck)
Lineage: Eukaryota; Metazoa; Chordata; Mammalia; Rodentia; Sciuridae
Source: RNAcentral